AAAGAAAGAGAAGAAAAGGGCAACGGGGCUUGAAAAAAAAAGGCAAGACAAAGAGGAGGGUUUGGCGGCUGAGUAGGGGGGGAACCUGGUUGGUGGCCGAAAAGAGAAAAAAGAAAGGAGAGAACCGAGAGGGGAGGACGGCUGGAAAAAACAGAGUAAAAGAAAAACCAAGGGGGUGGCGGAUGAAAAGGAACCGUGGAAAACGAAAAGGAAAAAAAGGAGGUGCUUCAUCGGAGGCUAAAGAAAAAGAAAGAGAAAGAUUGAAAGGAAAAAAUGGGAAGUUUAGCGGCUGAAGGCUGAGGAGAGGCUUCGGCUGAGUGAAGGGAAAAGGACGGAGAGGGAAGCUCAACGAAAACAAAAAACAGAGAAAAGGAAAAGAGGGUGGCGGCUGACGGGCAGAGGAGGAAAAAAGAGCAAAAACGCAAGGGGAAAACAGAGGGGCUGAGAACAAGGAGAAGAAAAAGGAGAGAACCGAGAGGGGGGCUUCGGUGGGGAAAAACAGAGAAGGCCGAGAGAGGUUUGGGCUAAAAAGAACAAAGCAAAGGAAAGACAAGGGGCGGCGGAACAAAGCAGAAAACUAAGAGGAAAAUGGACUGCUAGGGUUAGAGAAAAGGGAGACGCGAAAGUGAAAGGGAGAACUUCGGGGAGUUUCUGAGAGGAAGACAAGAGCAGGAACCAGAACAAGAGGAAGAAAGAAGCUUCGGGCUAGGGAAAAAUCAAAACGGAGGCAGAGGAGAGUAAGAACCAGAAUCACCACUGCCGUCGACCACCGCCAGCGCCGCCACUUCACCGAAUCCACCAUCAUCACCGGCCAAUUUUCAUCAAGCAAGAGCACGUCGAUCUCAAGGACACCGCCAUCCCCGACUGCCUCCAGUCCUGCUGCCAGAAGAGCACCGCCGCUAGCAGUCCACCAUAAAUGCUAUUCAUACUAGCUUUUGGAAGAUAUCUAUGGUUAUGGUUGAAGAAUGUUGAAGACAAAAUUGCCUUUUGCUCAUGGAGUGGUUCAUUUAGAUGUUCUUCAAUUUCUUAAACUGUGAUUGCUUUUGUAAAUGUACCUUAUGUACAAGUGAUAUUUUGGACAAAUGUUAUUUUUGUAGGCAUUAGUUGGGCAAUGUACACUUGAAUUUGGCAUUUGAGAAUGCUAUAUUAUUACCAUGUAAUCUAAUGCAAAUACUUUUGGUU
This is a non-coding RNA of Coffea arabica (coffee), 1182 nucleotides long. Lineage: Eukaryota; Viridiplantae; Streptophyta; Magnoliopsida; Gentianales; Rubiaceae. The record is from RefSeq and is a predicted model, not a curated record.